Molecule: unclassified non-coding RNA, 400 nt
Filed under: uncultured fungus
Lineage: Eukaryota; Fungi
Description: sequence contains ITS1
Rfam family: 5.8S ribosomal RNA (bases 1-105)
Source: RNAcentral
GAAAUGCGAUAAGUAGCGCGAAUUGCAGAAUUCCGCGAGUCGUCGAAUCUUUGAACGCACCUUGCGCUCGCCGGCACCCCGGCGAGCAUGCCUGCUUGAGCGCCGAAGAGCGAAUUGGUCACGCGAGUUGAGACCGCCCUCCUCCGCACAUGGGAGAGGGGGGUCGGACGCGCGUGGAGGGUGGGCUCAUCCUCGAGGGGUCACGACCACUCGCGGAGGCCUGAAGACCGCACCACGCCGGGUAAGCCCUAACCCUGGAAAGGGAGGGCAGCGUCACCGCGGAGACUUUGGCGCUGUGACGAGGGCGGCGAUGGUGAGCCCGCCACCCUCCGCCAGCGGAGGGAAGGGGAGGAGCGGACGCAUUCCGUCCACAAAAAAAAGAAGGCCUCAAGUCAGGCAG